GUGGGGAAUAUUGGACAAUGGGCGAAAGCCUGAUCCGGCCAUGCCGCGUGUGUGAAGAAGGUCUUCGGAUUGUAAAGCACUUUAAGUUGGGAGGAAGGGCAGUAAGUUAAUACCUUGCUGUUUUGACGUUACCGACAGAAUAAGCACCGGCUAACUUCGUGCCAGCAGCCGCGGUAAUACGAAGGGUGCAAGCGUUAAUCGGAAUUACUGGGCGUAAAGCGCGCGUAGGUGGUUUUGUAAGUUGGAGGUGAAAUCCCCGGGCUCAACCUGGGAACUGCCUCCAAAACUGCAUGACUAGAGUACGGUAGAGGGUAGUGGAAUUUCCUGUGUAGCGGUGAAAUGCGUAGAUAUAGGAAGGAACACCAGUGGCGAAGGCGACUACCUGGACUGAUACUGACACUGAGGUGCGAAAGCGUGGGGAGCAAACAGGAUUAGAAACCCGGGUAGUCC
Molecule: ribosomal RNA, 450 nt
Filed under: uncultured bacterium
Lineage: Bacteria
Description: partial 16S ribosomal RNA
Rfam family: Bacterial small subunit ribosomal RNA
Source: RNAcentral